This 253-nucleotide ribosomal RNA is filed under the name uncultured bacterium. RNAcentral describes it as "partial 16S ribosomal RNA". It matches the Rfam family "Bacterial small subunit ribosomal RNA", at positions 524 to 776 of the family's 1533-position model. The record is from RNAcentral.
UACGGAGGGGACUAGCGUUGUUCGGAAUUACUGGGCGUAAAGCGCACGUAGGCGGAUUUGUAAGUCAGGGGUGAAAUCCCGGGGCUCAACCUCGGAACUGCCUUUGAUACUGCAAAUCUCGAGUCCGGAAGAGGUGAGUGGAAUUCCUAGUGUAGAGGUGAAAUUCGUAGAUAUUCGGAAGAACACCAGUGGCGAAGGCGACUCACUGGACACGUAUUGACGCUGAGGUGCGAAAGCGUGGGGAGCAAACAGG